RNAcentral lists this ribosomal RNA (433 nucleotides) under uncultured bacterium. RNAcentral's name for it is "partial 16S ribosomal RNA". It matches the Rfam family "Bacterial small subunit ribosomal RNA", at positions 29 to 507 of the family's 1533-position model. The record is from RNAcentral.
AACGAACGCUGGCGGCAUGCCUAACACAUGCAAGUCGAACGAGACCUUCGGGUCUAGUGGCGCACGGGUGCGUAACGCGUGGGAACCUGCCCUUAGGUUCGGAAUAACUCCCCGAAAGGGGUGCUAAUACCGGUUAAUGUCUUCGGACCAAAGAUUUAUCGCGUUGGGAUGGGCCCGCGUUGGAUUCGCUAGUUGGUAGGGUAAAAGCCUACCAAGGCGACGAUCCAUAGCUGGUCUGAGAGGAUGAUCAGCCACACUGGAACUGAGACACGGCCCAGACUCCGACGGGAGGGAGCAGUGGGGAAUAUUGGACGAGGGGGGAAAGUCUGAGCAAGCAAUGCCGCGGGAGUGAUGAAGGGCUUAGGGUAGUAAAGCUCUUUUAGACGGGAUGAUAAUGACAGUACCGGGAGAAUAAGCACCGGCUAACUACGUG